Long non-coding RNA from Micropterus salmoides (largemouth bass), 424 nucleotides. RefSeq lists it as uncharacterized. The transcript is spliced from 2 exons. The record is from RefSeq and is a predicted model, not a curated record. Lineage: Eukaryota; Metazoa; Chordata; Actinopteri; Centrarchiformes; Centrarchidae.
ACUGCCCUCUCGGUGGAGUUGGGGAGCAUGUCCCCUGCAACCUGGACCUGAGCUCCUGUGGACUAAAGAGCCUCCUUUUCCAAUGAGGGAGCCACACUGGCUGGCCGGGACAACGAGCCUCAGGGUUACAGGUGGUUUACUGGUGGCUGGACUGUUGCUCAUAGAGUUGAUUAUAUCCUGAGGGGAGGGAAAAAAUGGUUAUAUCUGACAAAUUCAGCAUUAAUUACUGGAUUUGCAUUGGUGGCUUUCGUAGAAAUACUACCUCCAAGUAGCUCUUCAGAUUGUACACACUUGCCAUUACUAGUGUAGCUCUGUUAUGUUCUUCAUAUAUUAAUAUUUGUCAUUAUGCUUACAUCUUUGUUGACAUUAUGCACACCGGUGGUGGAAUGUAACAUCAAUUAAGUAAAAUUUUGAGGUACUUUUA